RNAcentral lists this ribosomal RNA (253 nucleotides) under uncultured bacterium. Its description in RNAcentral is "partial 16S ribosomal RNA". It matches the Rfam family "Bacterial small subunit ribosomal RNA", at positions 524 to 776 of the family's 1533-position model. The record is from RNAcentral.
UACGGAGGAUGCAAGCGUUAUCCGGAAUGAUUGGGCGUAAAGCGUCCGCAGGUGGCAAUGUAAGUCUGCUGUCAAAGCGUCUGGCUCAACCAGAUAAAGGCAGUGGAAACUACAUAGCUAGAGUAAGGUAGGGGUAGAGGGAAUUCCUGGUGUAGCGGUGAAAUGCGUAGAGAUCAGGAAGAACACCGGUGGCGAAAGCGCUCUGCUGGACCUUAACUGACACUGGGGGACGAAAGCUAGGGGAGCGAAUGGG